AUCCCAAAAAUGCUUCACCCAGUCUUGAACUGCAUCUAUUGAGCUGGCGCUCGCUUAGGAAUCUGUGUGUUGGCACGGUUUAUCAGGAAGUCAGGCCACAAGUAUGCGCCUGCCUCCUUGCUGUGCAGACACUGCUGCAAUCCAGCUGCCCCGCCUCCCUAAGAAUCCAGAUACAGCUGUAUCUGAGAGAAAACACCACUGAGCUAAGCCAGCUCACCAGGCUCACAUACUUAGUCUAACUUCAAUUUAACAGUAACCAACAGAGCCUGACUGAGACUUUGGACUAAGUGGUCAUACUCUCCCUGGCAUUGAACUCCAUUAAUCGCCAUUGUGUUUGGUCUUCCCUGCCCACAUUCACCACCUAUUUUAGACAGCACAUGACUCUGACUCACGAAAAAAAAAAAGGAGUGAAGCCUGCACAAAAGGCUUGAAAGCUUGGCUCACACCCACUCCCUUGAGCAAGAUCCCUGAAACACUGGUGUCUCAGCAUCCAAGGCUGCAGUCCAUCCUCUGGGGAAGUCAGGGAAGGAACAGAAGCAGAGGCCUCAUAGAAAUCCUGCUUGCUGGCCUGCUCAUCUUGCUUUGCAAUGUAACCCAGGAUCACCUGCCAGGGCUGGCACCAUUCACAUCGAGAUUCCCCUUUCCAGAAGACUCUAACCUGUGUCAAGUUGAAAAUAGGGUCCUGAGUGGCAGUGCCUGCAAGAGCAUACAUGUGAAGCAGCAAAAUCUGAAACGGAAACUGGAAACUCACAGAGCCUGGGAGCCACAGCAGAUGCUGAGGACUCUGGGCUAUUCGCAUGAACUUAUGAAAAGGAAUUCCUUGUCCAGUGAGUCCCCUGGGGAGUCUGCUGGAGGUUGUUCGCUUAUUCUGAGCACCAAGUGAGUGUAGAGCAGGUCCUCUGCUGCUCCGGAUGAAACUAUCAGGGACUACACCCAUGUGUAAGUCUGGAAGUCUGAAAAGCCUCAAAUGUACCUGAAGUCUGGCCUCUAUGCUGUCAGUGUGCUCCCAUUUAAACAGCUACAGUUUCUGUGUAUCUUUCUCUGGAAGGCCCACUCAUUUUAAAAUGUAAAACUGCCCAG
Long non-coding RNA from Meriones unguiculatus (Mongolian gerbil), 1080 nucleotides. RefSeq lists it as uncharacterized. The transcript has 4 exons. The record is from RefSeq and is a predicted model, not a curated record. Lineage: Eukaryota; Metazoa; Chordata; Mammalia; Rodentia; Muridae.